AGCUGCUGGGUCUUGAACUCACAGAGAUCCUGCUACCCUUGACUCCAGAGUGUUAAAAUUAAAGGUGUGCACCACCACAUGUGGCCUUAGAAGAUAAUUUAACACAAUCAGAUCAUUAUAAAUGUUCAAAGCCUUCAACCCAGCAUUCCUAUCUCUACAAAUAGUUCCCACUUACACGCUUACACACUUACACGAGAUGAACUUGCUGGCU
Molecule: ribosomal RNA, 211 nt
Filed under: uncultured bacterium
Lineage: Bacteria
Description: partial 16S ribosomal RNA
Source: RNAcentral